GUGGGGAAUAUUGGACAAUGGGCGAAAGCCUGAUCCAGCCAUGCCGCGUGAGUGAUGAAGGCCUUAGGGUUGUAAAGCUCUUUCAGUAGGGAAGAUAAUGACGGUACCUACAGAAGAAGCCCCGGCUAACUUCGUGCCAGCAGCCGCGGUAAUACGAAGGGGGCUAGCGUUGUUCGGAUUUACUGGGCGUAAAGCGCACGUAGGCGGAUUGGUCAGUUAGAGGUGAAAUCCUGGAGCUCAACUCCAGAACUGCCUUUAAUACUGCCAGUCUAGAGUCCAGAAGAAGUGAGUGGAACUCGUAGGGUAGAGGUGGAAUUCGUAGAUAUUAGGAAGAACACCAGUGGCGAAGGCGGCUCACUGGUCUGGUACUGACGCUGAGGUGCGAAAGCGUGGGGAGCAAACAGGAUUAGAUACCCCGGUAGUCC
Molecule: ribosomal RNA, 425 nt
Filed under: uncultured bacterium
Lineage: Bacteria
Description: partial 16S ribosomal RNA
Rfam family: Bacterial small subunit ribosomal RNA
Source: RNAcentral